Molecule: ribosomal RNA, 405 nt
Filed under: uncultured bacterium
Lineage: Bacteria
Description: partial 16S ribosomal RNA
Rfam family: Bacterial small subunit ribosomal RNA
Source: RNAcentral
AUUGAACGCUGGCGGCAGGCCUAACACAUGCAAGUCGAGCGAGCGGCGGACGGGUGAGUAAUGUCUGGGAAACUGCCUGAUGGAGGGGGAUAACUACUGGAAACGGUAGCUAAUACCGCAUACCAUCAGAUGUGACAAGAUGGGAUUGGAUAGUGGGUGGGGUAACGGCCCACCUAGGCGACGAUCCCUAGCUGGUCUGAGAGGAUGACCAGCCACACUGGAACUGAGCCACGGUCCAGCCUCCUACGGGAGUCAGCAUGGGGGAAUAUUGCACAAGGGGCGCAAGCCUGAUGCAGCCAGGCCGCGUGUGUGAAGAAGGCCUUCGGGUUGUAAAGCACUUUCAGCGGGGAGGCGUUACCCGCAGAAGAAGCACCGGCUAACUCCGUGCCAGCAGCCGCGGUAAAC